Molecule: long non-coding RNA, 821 nt
Filed under: Solanum tuberosum (potato)
Lineage: Eukaryota; Viridiplantae; Streptophyta; Magnoliopsida; Solanales; Solanaceae
Description: long non-coding RNA (STUB_LNC002787)
Source: RNAcentral
UUUCAGAAAUCGUAAUUGUUUCAGUAUUUGUGAGAUAAAAUUAUGUGGAGAGAAGCUAUUGAGAAAACAGGGGAGGGGUAAUUUACAGGUGAUGAAGUGACAAAGAUUCAGUGAUUUUGGAGAGUGAAGAGUGAUUGUUGUAUGUCUUUGUAAAAUUAGGUGAAAUGAAUUGUGUAAAAUUGUAAGAAGAUGUUAGAACAUAUUAAGAUAUUUUAAUGUGGUUCGUCAGUGUUAGAGAAUAUUCAGAUACUUUAGUGUGUUUCGUCGGCAAUAAUGGAGGAAACGGAUUCAUGGUGGUUCAAAUGGUGGACAAAGACAUUGGUCAAAAAAAUAUGACAAAAAGUUGAAUAGUGAAAAUUUUGGAGAAGAAUGGAGGAUUAUAGUUAUUUAAGGCAAUGUUUCAAGUAAGGAUGUAAGAUUGCAAUGGUGUGUUUUGGUGUAAAAAAUGGAAGGAGGUAAUCAAGGAUAGAGAUGGUGAGGGAGAAACAUAGUGAAAAAGAAAAAUAAAAAGAAAUUGAAAAUUUUAAAUAAAUUAAAAAUAAAUGACGUGUUAUUAAAAAUCUGACGUGGAUGAUGAAGUGUUAUUUUUAUUAUGUGUUUGAAGUGCACGCGAAGUCAAAAGGGUUUAAAAUGUUGUGUUUCAGUGGGUUCGAGAGUUCAUCUGGCAAAAUCGUGAGUAGAAGGGCCUAUGUGACAAAUGGAGCCAAGUACAGGGGUCUCCCAGGUCAUUCCGCCUUUUAGAAUUAGAUUGAUUUUAGAGUUAUCCUUUUUAGCGUACUGUUUGUUCUUUUUCUUUUCCAACCAUGUCUUUUAAUCACCAC